Molecule: transfer RNA, 69 nt
Filed under: Epichloe bromicola
Lineage: Eukaryota; Fungi; Ascomycota; Sordariomycetes; Hypocreales; Clavicipitaceae
Description: tRNA-Leu
Source: RNAcentral
GGAAGAAUAGUAUAAAUUAUUACAGUUAAUUUAAAUUAAAAGAUUUGGAUGGAAGCUCCAAUUCUUCCC